Long non-coding RNA from Lotus japonicus, 575 nucleotides. RefSeq lists it as uncharacterized. The transcript has 5 exons. Lineage: Eukaryota; Viridiplantae; Streptophyta; Magnoliopsida; Fabales; Fabaceae. The record is from RefSeq and is a predicted model, not a curated record.
CACAACUCACCUUCAUGCUUCUUCUUCCUCAUUGUGAGGGCUCACCAAGCUCUGACCUGCAUCUCUUUCUCACAUCUUGCUCACGGUUCUCCUGACCCACUCUAGUGAUUCUGCUUCUCGAUCUGCUCCUAACAAAGAAGGAGGAAAGGCACUGACUCUCCCAUGGCUUGAUUGAUCCACUUGAGAAGGAUUAUGGAUAUUGAUUUUGCGAACUUAUCUGAUUGAUUGGUUUUCGUCUCGUGUUUUUGGACUUGUUGGUGGAAAAGCUAAGCCUUUGAAGAAACCACAGUCCGAUAAGAAGGAUUACGAUGAGGUUAUAUGGCUGCCCUUUAGUUUUUUAUUGGAGUGCUGAUGAGCUUUUUUUAAAGAAUAGGCAGCAAGUAGCAACUUUAAUUUUUAUCUGUGAACAAGAUUAGCAUCUGAUUCAAAUCCUAAAUACCGAAAGAGUAGAAAGUCGUUUCAAUCUCUAAAGGAAAAGCUGUUGAAGAUGAUGCUUUAAAAGCACAAGUUGCUGAGAUAGAUGUUUUGAAGGAACAACUUGCUUUCCUUAUGCAAGUUCAUAAAAAAAAUGGGGU